This 468-nucleotide ribosomal RNA is filed under the name uncultured bacterium. RNAcentral describes it as "partial 16S ribosomal RNA". It matches the Rfam family "Bacterial small subunit ribosomal RNA", at positions 28 to 507 of the family's 1533-position model. The record is from RNAcentral.
GACGAACGCUGGCGGCGUGCUUAACACAUGCCAGUCGAACGGAAAGGCCCUGCUUUUGUGGGGUGCUCGAGUGGCGAACGGGUGAGUAACACGUGAGUAACCUGCCCUUGACUUUGGGAUAACUUCAGGAAACUGGGGCUAAUACCGGAUAGGAGCUCCUGCUGCAUGGUGGGGGUUGGAAAGUUUCGGCGGUUGGGGAUGGACUCGCGGCUUAUCAGCUUGUUGGUGGGGUAGUGGCUUACCAAGGCAUUGACGGGUAGCCGGCCUGAGAGGGUGACCGGCCACAUUGGGACUGAGAUACGGCCCAGACGCCUACGGGAGGCAGCAGUGGGGAAUAUUGCACAAUGGGCGGAAGCCGGAUGCAGCAACGCCGCGUGCGGGAUGACGGCCUUCGGGUUGUAAACCGCUUUCGCCUGUGACGAAGCGUGAGUGACGGUAAUGGGUAAAGAAGCACCGGCUAACUACGUG